Molecule: ribosomal RNA, 339 nt
Filed under: uncultured bacterium
Lineage: Bacteria
Description: partial 16S ribosomal RNA
Rfam family: Bacterial small subunit ribosomal RNA
Source: RNAcentral
CCUACGGGUGGCAGCAGUGAGGAAUAUUGGUCAAUGGCCGGAAGGCUGAACCAGCUAAGCCGCGUGAGGGAGGAAGGCGCAGAGCGUCGCAGACCUCUUUUGCCGGGGGACACAAUGCCGCACUCGUCCGGUCCUGAGUGUACCCUGUGAAAAAGCAUCGGCUAACUCCGUGCCAGCAGCCGCGGUAAUACGGAGGAUGCGAGCGUUAUCCGGAUUCAUUGGGUUUAAAGGGUGCGCAGGGGGGCCUUUAAGCCGGCGGUGAAAUCGCGGGGCUCAACCCAGCCGAGACGUGGGAACUGGGGGCCUUGAGUGCGGCGGAGGCAGGCGGAAUGCGCGGUG